RNAcentral lists this unclassified non-coding RNA (170 nucleotides) under uncultured Chaetothyriales. RNAcentral describes it as "sequence contains ITS2". Lineage: Eukaryota; Fungi; Ascomycota; Eurotiomycetes; Chaetothyriales. The record is from RNAcentral.
UCCUUCUCUCCAUCCCCCGGGAUGUGGCAUUGGAACCCACGUUGGCCUCGACCAACUGGUUCUCAAAAAUAAUGACGGCGUCCGUGGGACCCUCGAUACACCGAGCUUUUUCGAGAGCACGUAUCGAGUUGCAAGGACCUUCCGGGCCGGUCUGACCCCAAUCUUUCUCA